AUACGUAAGGGGCGAGCGUUGUCCGGAAUGACUGGGCGUAAAGGGCGUGUAGGCGGUUGUCUAAGUCUGGAGUGAAAGUCCUGCUUUCAAGGUGGGAAUAGCUUUGGAUACUGGAUGACUUGAGUGCGGAAGAGGUAAGUGGAAUUCCCAGUGUAGCGGUGAAAUGCGUAGAGAUUGGGAGGAACACCAGUGGCGAAGGCGACUUACUGGGCCGUAACUGACGCUGAGGCGCGAAAGCGUGGGGAGCGAACAGGAUUAGAUACCCUGGUAGUCCACGCGGUAAACGAUGAAUGCUAGGUGUUGCGGGUAUCGACCCCUGCAGUGCCGGAGUAAACACAAUAAGCAUUCCGUCUGGGGAGUACGGCCGCAAGGUUGAAACUCAAAGGAAUUGACGGGG
Molecule: ribosomal RNA, 397 nt
Filed under: uncultured bacterium
Lineage: Bacteria
Description: partial 16S ribosomal RNA
Rfam family: Bacterial small subunit ribosomal RNA
Source: RNAcentral